ACUGAAGAACUGAGCUAAUUGGUUCAAAAGACUUUAUCCAACAGUGACUAUUGUUGUGCUACUAUCAUGGACCAGAUGCUUCAAGGAUGUCAAUGUUGGGUAUUGCCAGGCACUGUUUGCAGCAUCUUCCCAAUGACAGUAAUGAGCAAAUAUUUCUUAAGCAACUUCAUCCAAAGCGGUCCAUGUCUUCUUCUAGUGUACACCUUCAAUCUAAUUUGGUUUGUCUUCAAACCCAAGUGGAAGCCCAGGACAACCUUGAACAUAUUAUGUAUUAGAAGACAACCUUGGAUUUUCUGCCACAAUCUUCCAAGUAUGUUCCACCAUACCUAGGUUCUGUGGGGCUGAGGAUCAGAUGGAGACCUUCAAAGCUGCCUUCCCCCUUACCAAGUGAGAUAUUUUUC
This 401-nucleotide long non-coding RNA is filed under the name Cricetulus griseus (Chinese hamster). RNAcentral describes it as "lncRNA (ENSCGRG00015035064.1)". The record is from RNAcentral. Lineage: Eukaryota; Metazoa; Chordata; Mammalia; Rodentia; Cricetidae.